RNAcentral lists this ribosomal RNA (496 nucleotides) under uncultured bacterium. RNAcentral's name for it is "partial 16S ribosomal RNA". It matches the Rfam family "Bacterial small subunit ribosomal RNA", at positions 30 to 523 of the family's 1533-position model. The record is from RNAcentral.
AUUGAACGCUGGCGGAAUGCUUUACACAUGCAAGUCGAACGGUAGAGGGGGCAACCCCUCGAGAGUGGCGAACGGGUGAGUAAUAUAUCGGAACGUGCCCAGUCGUGGGGGAUAACGUAGCGAAAGUUACGCUAAUACCGCAUACGAUCUAAGGAUGAAAGCGGGGGAUCGCAAGACCUCGCGCGAUUGGAGCGGCCGAUAUCAGAUUAGGUAGUUGGUGGGGUAAAGGCCCACCCAGCCAAGGAUCUGUAGCUGGUCUGAGAGGAAGACCAGCCGCACUGGGACUGAGACACGGUCCAGACUCCUACGUGAGGCAGCAGUGGGGAAGUUUGGACAAUGGGCGAAAGCCUGAUCCAGCCAUUCCGCGUGCAGGAUGAAGGCCCUCGGGUUGUAAACUGCUUUUGUACAGAACGAAAAGGUUUCUACUAAUCCUAGGAGCUCAUGACGGUACUGUAAGAAUAAGCACCGGCUAACUACGUGCCAGCCGCCGCGGUAA